CAGGAGGUGAGUGUGGCACAGAGGGAUGGAUGCUGCUUUUCACUCCCUGGAAAGAUGUGGCGUGCCCAAGGCCGUGCUGACAGGAAUGCUAAUGGGAAUAAGAGCACCCAGCUUCUUCCAGUGGGGAGUCACUUGGUGGAUUUAGGAAGAGGUGUCCUGGCUGGCUGAUAGCUACUAGAGCUCCAAGAGAAGGAAGAAGAUAUUUCCUCUGCCAGUGGAGAGCUUCUGUGAAUGGAGCAAGUAACCUGAGCUGGGAGGAGACAGUGCUGCAGGGCUUAGGAGAAGCUGAGUUUUUUGGUGCUAGCCAGGUUUGUUCAAACUCAAAAAAAUGUCACUCAAAAAAACCCUCUUCAUGGAUUUCCCUACUACCAAGCCAGCUAACAAACCCCAGUCCGUACAUGGUUAAAUAAACAUGGUUAAAGAUACCUCCA
This is a non-coding RNA of Lonchura striata (white-rumped munia), 431 nucleotides long. The record is from RefSeq and is a predicted model, not a curated record. Lineage: Eukaryota; Metazoa; Chordata; Aves; Passeriformes; Estrildidae.